This 85-nucleotide non-coding RNA is filed under the name Desulfoscipio gibsoniae DSM 7213. The record is from RNAcentral. Lineage: Bacteria; Bacillati; Bacillota; Clostridia; Eubacteriales; Desulfallaceae.
GAGCGCCGUAUGAGGGGAAACUCUCACGUACGGUGCGGAACGGGGGAAAAGGCAGAGAUGAUUUCAAAGCCUUACCUAUCGUUAU